GAGUUUGAUCCUGGCUCAGAGCGAACGCUGGCGGCAUGCUUAACACAUGCAAGUCUCACGGGCAGCAAUGUCAGUGGCGGACGGGUGAGUAACGCGUAGGAAUUUAUCCACGGGUGGGGGAUAACGUCGGGAAACUGACGCUAAUACCGUAUGAUGCCUGAGGGCCAAAGGCGCGAGUCGCCUGUGGAGGAGCCUGCGUACGAUUAGCUAGUUGGUGGGGUAACUGCCUACCAAGGCGACGAUCGUUAGCUGGUCUGAGAGGAUGAUCAGCCACACUGGGACUGAGACACGGCCCAGACUCCUACGGGAGGCAGCAGUGGGGAAUAUUGGACAAUGGGCGAAAGCCUGAUCCAGCAAUGCCGCGUGUGUGAAGAAGGUCUUCGGAUUGUAAAGCACUUUCGGCGGGGACGAUGAUGACGGUACCCGCAGAAGAAGCCCCGGCUAACUUCGUACCAGCAGCCGCGGUAAUACG
Molecule: ribosomal RNA, 472 nt
Filed under: uncultured eubacterium WR1104
Lineage: Bacteria
Description: bacterial SSU rRNA
Rfam family: Bacterial small subunit ribosomal RNA
Source: RNAcentral